UACGGGAGGCAGCAGUGGGGAAUCUUCCGCAAUGGGCGAAAGCCUGACCCAGCGACGCCGCGUGAGGGAAGAAGGUCUUCGGAUUGUAAACCUCUUUCAGCAAGGAAGAAGAAAGUGACGGUACUUGCAGAAGAAGCCACGGCUAACUACGUGCCAGCAGCCGCGGUAAU
Molecule: ribosomal RNA, 170 nt
Filed under: uncultured rumen bacterium
Lineage: Bacteria
Description: partial 16S ribosomal RNA
Rfam family: Bacterial small subunit ribosomal RNA
Source: RNAcentral